RNAcentral lists this ribosomal RNA (498 nucleotides) under uncultured bacterium. RNAcentral's name for it is "partial 16S ribosomal RNA". It matches the Rfam family "Bacterial small subunit ribosomal RNA", at positions 28 to 523 of the family's 1533-position model. The record is from RNAcentral.
GAUGAACGCUGGCGGCGUGCCUAAUACAUGCAAGUCGAACGCUUCACUUCGGUGAAGAGUGGCGAACGGGUGAGUAAUACAUAAGUAACCUGGCAUCUACAGGGGGAUAACUGAUGGAAACGUCAGCUAAGACCGCAUAGGUGUAGAGAUCGCGUGAACUCUAUAUGAAAAGUGCUACGGGACUGGUAGAUGAUGGACUUAUGGCGCAUUAGCUGGUUGGUAGGGUAACGGCCUACCAAGGCGACGAUGCGUAGCCGACCUGAGAGGGUGACCGGCCACACUGGGACUGAGACACGGCCCAGACUCCUACGGGAGGCAGCAGUAGGGAAUUUUCGGCAAUGGGGGAAACCCUGACCGAGCAACGCCGCGUGAAGGAAGAAGUAAUUCGUUAUGUAAACUUCUGUCAUAGAGGAAGAACGGUGGAUAUAGGGAAUGAUAUCCAAGUGACGGUACUCUAUAAGAAAGCCACGGCUGACUACGUGCCAGCAGCCGCCGCAG